AAAACUGUAGAACAACUAGUAUAUAAGCAAGUUUUGUUUCAUCACCAUUUCAUCAACACAAGCUAAAUAUAUAUUGUGAUUAAACAAGUAAUCAGUCAAAAGAUGGAAGGCAAAAGUGUUAUUCUAAGUGUGCUCAUAAUGAGUUUGGUCAUGACACAAAUUCAAGUGGAGGCAAAGAGUUGCUGCCCGUCUACGACUGCUAGAAAUAUCUAUAACGCUUGCCGUUUGGGGGGAGCCUCCCGACCAGUGUGUGCAUCACUCAGUGGAUGCAAAGUUGUUCCUGCUAAAUGUCCGAACGGAUAUCAUCAUGACAUUCUCCAAAACUCAGGUUAAGAUGAAUACUGCAAGUUGGGGUGUGUAUCUUCUGUUUGCGGUGCCAUGAACACACUUUAAAGCUCUGAUGUGAAUGAAAUUGUGAAUGGAGCUGUAGCACAAUGCACAAAGGCAUGUUCUACUUUAUGCACCAUGGGAUCUACAACUGAAGUUUAGACUGCCUAAACAACCAUAUCCAUGCAGUUACCACAUCCAAGUUUCAGAGUGUUAUUUUCCUCGUUUUCAAUAAUUGUGUCUAUGUGAGAAAAAAUGCUAGACUUUGGUGCUAGAAUUUGAAUAAGUUAUUUCCAGUUUGUUUCUGUGUUGUAGAUUGUACAUGACUUCUAUUAAAUAAAAAGUUUGGACACUAUAAUAUUUAUUAUUA
RNA transcript from Camelina sativa (false flax), 697 nucleotides. RefSeq lists it as uncharacterized. The record is from RefSeq and is a predicted model, not a curated record. NCBI's taxonomy places the organism in Eukaryota, Viridiplantae, Streptophyta, Magnoliopsida, Brassicales, Brassicaceae.